Molecule: long non-coding RNA, 377 nt
Organism: Anthonomus grandis grandis
Lineage: Eukaryota; Metazoa; Arthropoda; Insecta; Coleoptera; Curculionidae
Exons: 2
Source: RefSeq, a predicted model, not a curated record
AUUAAAAUGAGAAUUUAUUAAAUAACUUUGGUAUCUAUGAACGAGACGAGGAAAAUUAAUUAAUUAUUUGACGUUUAAAUCUGUUUAUCAGUAUUAUAUUUUAUGGGGGUUUACGAGGUAGAAGUUAUUGUAACGAUAUUGUAAAUACCGAGAAACCAGCUGAUCCUCCGUCAUUCGGCAAUGACACAAGUGGCACACUGCACGACGUCUCGAAGGUCAGCGAGUCUUCCGGAAUUAAGGUCAGCCGGGUAUAUAAGGAGCCGCGUCGCCACUCAGUUCCAUCAGAGGCAUUAAUAUAGGCGCGAGAUUUAAAUCAGACAAAAAUAGCUGUAGCUAUAAAUACGGUAAAAAUAAAUAUUUCUAGUAGUCGUGAGUGA